RNAcentral lists this long non-coding RNA (1130 nucleotides) under Dicentrarchus labrax (European seabass). Its description in RNAcentral is "lncRNA (ENSDLAG00005033277.1)". Lineage: Eukaryota; Metazoa; Chordata; Actinopteri; Moronidae. The record is from RNAcentral.
AUGUUACACGGAAACAUAUUUAUUUUUAUGCCUCAAAUGGACACUGGACUUUUUAUUGGAUUGCAUUAUUUGCCAUAUUUGAUGAUAAGGAGUGGAACUACAUGCUGGCUGUGGAGCUUGUUAAGGCACUGUAGCAUCAUGGGAGCAACAGCACACAGCCACACACAGGGUAACAGGAACAAAGUGCAAUGGGACACGGAAGUUGGAUAAUCAGCAUUCAGCAUGCACACAUAUAAAAUUACGACAUAAUUGGACCCCCGCUUCACUUUUUUGAGCGCACUGACUCUGAUGUGUGUUCCAUUUGUCAAAUUUCAGGUUUUAUUUCCUGUGUACCUGUGAUUUUCUUUCUACAUAAGCAUGGAUUAUGUAGAAAGAAAAUCCUAGGAAAUACAAUCUUAAAAAGCAUUUGUGCUCUGUAGUUUUCUGCACAACCAUCUCAUUAUAUAGUAUUAUUUCCUGUGUAGUUCUAAUAUACUGGUAAUAUGUAUGUUUAAUGUUUGAAAUAAUUGUAUGUGAAGUCUGCUCCCAGUUGUAAUAAACAAAUUCUACAAAUAAUUUGAAUGAUUAAUAUCAGCACCAAACAUGUAAUGUGGGUAGCAAUCCCUGCUGAAUAAAAACGACAGUGUAUAAAAACCUUGUUCCUUCUGUCUUUAGUCAAGUAGUGGAAAACUAGCUGGUUCAAAUGUUUUGGUUGCCCUUUAUCUUUUUUGAUAAUCAAUAUUCAAAUAUGUAUUAUGUUAUAUAAGUGUUGUUUUAUUUGUUUUUAUCUCCACACAGUCUACAAACAAAAUUAAAAAGAGUCUACAGCCAUGCUAGCAGCUCUGUUUAGCUGCACAGCAGUGCUUUGAGCUAAAUGUUAUUGUUAGCAUGCCAACAUCCAUUACAUCUUGAUGUAAAUCAGGUAUAAUGUUUACCAUGUGCACCAUCUUAGUUUAACAAGUAAUCAUGCUAACAUCUGCCAAUUAGUGCUAAACAGAUGUAGCUGAGGCAGAUGAGAAUAUCAGUUUGCAGGUAUUUGAUGAUCAAACCCAAAAGUAUUUUGACCUGGUGACCUAUCAUAAUUAAAAACUAAGAAAAUGAAAAAAGGCAACAAUAAAGUAACUUGCAAGUAAAACAUGGACAAGCAGUCC